RNAcentral lists this transfer RNA (81 nucleotides) under uncultured spirochete. RNAcentral describes it as "tRNA-Leu". It matches the Rfam family "tRNA". From Rfam's summary of the family: Transfer RNA (tRNA) molecules are approximately 80 nucleotides in length. Lineage: Bacteria; Pseudomonadati; Spirochaetota; Spirochaetia; Spirochaetales. The record is from RNAcentral.
GCGAGAGUGGUGGAACGGCAGACACGCCAGACUUAGGAUCUGGUGCCUUUAGGCGUAAGGGUUCAAGUCCCUUCUCUCGCA